GAUGAAGAACGUAUCGAAAUGCGAUAAGUAAUGUGAAUUGCAGAAUUCAGUGAAUCAUCGAAUCUUUGAACGCACAUUGCGCCCGCCAGUAUUCUGGCGGGCAUGCCUGUUCGAGCGUCAUUUCAACCAUCAAGCCCCGGGCUUGUGUUGGGGACCUGCGGCUGCCGCAGGCACUGAAAUGCAGUGGCGGGCUCGCUGUCACUCCGAGCGUAGUAGUUACAUCUCGCUCUGGGCGUGCUGCGGGUUCCGGCCGUUAAAAGCCUUAUUUACCCAAGGUUGACCUCGGAUCAGGUAGGAAGACCCGCUGAACUUAAGCAUAUCAAUAAGCGGAGGA
RNAcentral lists this unclassified non-coding RNA (334 nucleotides) under soil metagenome. RNAcentral's name for it is "partial contains 5.8S ribosomal RNA, internal transcribed spacer 2, and large subunit ribosomal RNA". The stretch from base 1 to 120 matches the Rfam family "5.8S ribosomal RNA", at positions 35 to 154 of the family's 154-position model. The record is from RNAcentral.